UAAUUCAGAAACAAAGUAUCCCUACUGUGGCC
This 32-nucleotide non-coding RNA is filed under the name Rattus norvegicus (Norway rat). Lineage: Eukaryota; Metazoa; Chordata; Mammalia; Rodentia; Muridae. The record is from RNAcentral.